GCCAGGAGGCAGCUAAAAUGUGAAGAAACUCUCGCUUAGCUUUUUCUGCUGAGAUGAAAUUUAGCACCAAAGUGCAAUCCCUGAGGCAGCAGCUUCAUUCUGUGAAGCAGGGGUUCUGAUGUCUGCUGGUGGCUGUGCAUGCUGUCUGCUUGGAGCAAAGAGAGCAUUCAGCUCACUGGAACAGCAGGAGAAAUGUGUAGGAAACAAAGAUGCACCACCAUAGGCACCUCCAUUGUGUGAUUUAUAAGCAGCAAUUAACUCAACCUUCUAACACCACGUGACAGAGGUGUUCCUGGGCCCAUUUAUGAGCUAGGCAAGCUGAGGCACAGAGGUGUCAAACAUCAUUUCUCGGUGAUGAUACUGCAGAAAGAAGACAAGAACCCAGGAAUCAAAUCAUAACCUUGCUCUGCUGUUGCUAGAAAAGAAAGGAGCUCUAAAAUCCACUUAACUUGCUACAAAGUCUAGCAAACUUCAUAGAACUAUGAAUGCUUUUAAAUGCAAAUGGUUUCCUUAAUAAAAGAAAAAUGCAGGAACCAUUUAGAAGAACACUGAAGAAACACAUUUAAACCAUGAUGAAGCAGGAAUCAAGUCAUUUGAAAAAAAAGAAAUCAAGCUGGGAUGGAUAAUUCUCUGUAUCUCUGUCAGGCCACAAGCUUCCUAAAUUAUUGCAAUCUGACUCUGGCUGAGGUGGCAGAGCUGUCAUGUUUUAUGGUCCUUCCCCUGCUCUGUAUCUCUUGGCCUUGCCCACGCUUUGGAAAACUUAUAGGAUGGUCUGAUGCUUCUGACUGAGGAAAGGUGCUCAAUGAAGGCAAAGUUUAUCUUUGUGUAGCUGAGGCUGCAGUGGUACACAGAUCUUAACACUGCCCCUCAAAAAUAAUUUUCAUCCUCAAGACAUUGUACUUGGUGUGUCUGCAAUGCUUCUGAGGCCAACAGUAGCAGAUACAAGCAGUGGUUUGUAUGAGCAGACCCUCCUGGGACUAUCAUCACAUCAACAAGAGGUGUGCCACAUAUCAGCUAAUUGUGGGAUCAGGAUAUGGCCAGGUAGAAAGCAAGCUUAGAAGCUAAGGGAGAAGGAGACUGCAUGGAGGUGGAAGAAGAGAACAAUUUAGAAACAUAAGCUUGAACCUCGUUUACAACACCAUGUGCAAAAAAAGAAAGGUAUAACAUAUAAGAUAUGUUUUUACCUGCAAGUACCUUCACAUUAGUGGUAUGGUAAGGAUUCCUUGCUCACCACUGGGGUAGAGACGUGACAACUUGAUAAACAUGGUGUGGGGACUUGCCAUGCAUUUCAGUCUUGGCAAGGGAAAUGCUUUAUUCACAUAUGAAGCUAACAGCUCUGUAGUGGUGGAAAUAGUAUUUCUCUGUUGUAUGGAGAUCUCUGAUGUUUGGCAGAUGAUUUAAUCAGGGGAUUUUUAUUUUUUUUUUUAAAUAAAAAAGGAAAAGUAGAAUACAGAUGUGGGUAGUUAAAUAUAGGAGAUCCUAUUUCUGUUUUUAGUGUAAAUACAUUUAUUAUUUUUAAAUCUGACUCAUUUGUAAAGAUACCGAUCUAUAUAUACAUGUAUGUAAGAGUCAUGCAGUGAGGAUUGUUCAAGUCCUUGUAUGAGUGCAAGCAGUACUUUAUAAAUUGGUAUGAAGAUGUUCCACAGUAAUGAUCUGGGCUACCAGUACAGUUAUUGCUGUAGAUGCACUGCCUAUGCUUGUUUUCACAUGCAGCUAUAUUCAGAUC
Molecule: non-coding RNA, 1726 nt
Organism: Coturnix japonica (Japanese quail)
Lineage: Eukaryota; Metazoa; Chordata; Aves; Galliformes; Phasianidae
Source: RefSeq, a predicted model, not a curated record